RNAcentral lists this unclassified non-coding RNA (344 nucleotides) under uncultured fungus. RNAcentral's name for it is "partial contains small subunit ribosomal RNA, internal transcribed spacer 1, and 5.8S ribosomal RNA". The stretch from base 1 to 73 matches the Rfam family "Eukaryotic small subunit ribosomal RNA", at positions 1759 to 1831 of the family's 1831-position model. Lineage: Eukaryota; Fungi. The record is from RNAcentral.
UCAAACUUGGUCAUUUAGAGGAAGUAAAAGUCGUAACAAGGUUUCCGUAGGUGAACCUGCGGAAGGAUCAUUAAAAGUGCCCCGGCCUGAGCCGGUGGACCACUCCUCUGCCCUGGGCCGUUCGCGGCCUCUGGGUUAUGAGUCUACCAAUUGUGAAACUUAAACCUUUGCUUCGGCAGCGCUCUCAGCGGGCAACCGCUGGAGGGGUAAGGCUGCCAGAAGCCCAUUCUCAAAACUAGUUGAUGAAAUGUCAUGCUGUCUGAUAACCACUAUUUGAGAAAUCAAAUUAUAUUAAAACUUUCAGCAACGGAUCUCUUGGUUCUCGCAUCGAUGAAGAACGCAGC